UAUGAACGCUAGCGGCAGGCCUAACACAUGCAAGUCGAGGGAGAAGCCCUUUCGGGGGCGGCACCCGGCGCCCGGGUCCUUAACGCGUAUGCAACUUCCUUUUAUCAGGGGGUUAGCCCGAAGAAUUUUGAUUAAUUACCCCUUAUUAUUUUUGGUUGGCUUCUUUCAUUAUUUAAAACUCCGUUGGAAAAUAUGGGGCAUGCGUCCAAUUAGCUAGUUGGAGUGUUAGCGGCACCCCAAGGCUACGAUAGGUAGGGGUCCUGAGAGGGAGAUCCCCCACACUGGUACUGAGACAGGGACCAGAAUUCUACGGGAGGCAGCAGUGAGGAAUAAUGGUCAAUGGUCGGAAGACUGAACCAGUCAUGCCGCGUGCAGGAAGAAUGCCUUAUGGGUUGUAAACUGCUUUUAUAUGGGAAGAAUAAGGCGUACGGGUACGUUGAUGACGGUACCAUAUGAAUAAGCAGCGGCUAACUCCGUG
Molecule: ribosomal RNA, 478 nt
Filed under: uncultured bacterium
Lineage: Bacteria
Description: partial 16S ribosomal RNA
Rfam family: Bacterial small subunit ribosomal RNA
Source: RNAcentral